RNAcentral lists this non-coding RNA (53 nucleotides) under Ixodes scapularis (black-legged tick). Its description in RNAcentral is "Guanidine-II sequence". It matches the Rfam family "Guanidine-II riboswitch aptamer (mini-ykkC)". From Rfam's summary of the family: Simpler in structure and has fewer highly conserved nucleotide positions than the ykkC-yxkD leader. Despite this each of its two stem-loop structures directly bind free guanidine. Therefore, mini-ykkC RNA motif represents a distinct class of guanidine-sensing RNAs. Lineage: Eukaryota; Metazoa; Arthropoda; Arachnida; Ixodida; Ixodidae. The record is from Rfam by way of RNAcentral.
CCUCGAGGACGACCUCGAGGAUGACUUCUAGGACAAUUUCGAGGACAACCUCG